CCACAAAAUGCGGCAGGAUUUUUGCUGUCAUGUGAGCCGCAUUCUGUUUAUUGUGUUGCAGAGCUGACGUGAACUCGGACUUGGCGCUGCUAUCCACAACCGGACACGACUACAACUUGUAGACAUGACGCACCUGAACGGACAACAUGACGAGGCUCUUCUUCUUACCUCUACCGGUGUUCUGCAACAUUCGCACACGGCUGCCUCAUCUUUCAACAGCAUUCCAGCAAAUGCGCAUCAAUGAAGCCAGCGGCCAGAAAAGUCGUCACCGCAAAAAAAAGCUCCGUGGCGAGGAAGUCUGACCGUGUCAUGGAGAGAACAAGACCCCCUCCUCCAUCCCCCAGCAGACCGCGUUUGCAUCACCGCUUGGCUGUGGCCAAAGCUUUUUAUUUGCCUCAGCACCCCACCCCACCCCCUUCCAAACCCUGCAGCCACCCAAAGGCGCAAACUGUGAGGGCGAGGACGUGCGUGUCUCUCCCCCCUCCGCAGCGGGUGGAGAGGGAAAAAAACUAAUUCUAACUCACCGGGAAAGUCCAUGGCGGUGUCCGCAUCGCUCACCUCGCCCUCGGCCCGUUAAUUGGAAACGAGGCUCUUCGAAGGAUCCUCGCCACUUAUCCGGGAGCAAUUCAGCGGGAGCUG
Molecule: long non-coding RNA, 639 nt
Organism: Syngnathus acus (greater pipefish)
Lineage: Eukaryota; Metazoa; Chordata; Actinopteri; Syngnathiformes; Syngnathidae
Exons: 3
Source: RefSeq, a predicted model, not a curated record